AUGGUUAAGUGGGAAACGAUGUGGGAAGGCCCAGACAGCCAGGAUGUUGGCUUAGAAGCAGCCAUCAUUUAAAGAAAGCGUAAUAGCUCACUGGUCGAGUCGGCCUGCGCGGAAGAUGUAACGGGGCUAAACCAUGCACCGAAGCUGCGGCAGCGACACUAUGUGUUGUUGGGUAGGGGAGCGUUCUGUAAGCCGUUGAAGGUGGCCUGUGAGGGUUGCUGGAGGUAUCAGAAGUGCGAAUGCUGACAUAAGUAACGAUAAUGCGGGUGAAAAACCCGCACGCCGGAAGACCAAGGGUUCCUGUCCAACGUUAAUCGGGGCAGGGUGAGUCGACCCCUAAGGCGAGGCCGAAAGGCGUAGUCGAUGGGAAACAGGUUAAUAUUCCUGUACUUGGUGUUACUGCGAAGGGGGGACGGAGAAGGCUAUGUUGGCCGGGCGACGGUUGUCCCGGUUUAAGCAUGUAGGCGGAGAUUCCAGGUAAAUCCGGAGUCUUGUUAACGCUGAGGUGUGAUGACGAGGCACUACGGUGCUGAAGUGACAAAUGCCCUGCUUCCAGGAAAAGCCUCUAAGCAUCAGGUAACACGAAAUCGUACCCCAAACCGACACAGGUGGUCAGGUAGAGAAUACCAAGGCGCUUGAGAGAACUCGGGUGAAGGAACUAGGCAAAAUGGUGCCGUAACUUCGGGAGAAGGCACGCUGACAGGUAGGUGAAGCGACUUGCUCGUGGAGCUGAAAUCAGUCGAAGAUACCAGCUGGCUGCAACUGUUUAUUAAAAACACAGCACUGUGCAAACACGAAAGUGGACGUAUACGGUGUGACGCCUGCCCGGUGCCGGA
This 836-nucleotide ribosomal RNA is filed under the name Citrobacter amalonaticus. RNAcentral's name for it is "bacterial LSU rRNA". It matches the Rfam family "Bacterial large subunit ribosomal RNA", at positions 1055 to 1873 of the family's 2925-position model. Lineage: Bacteria; Pseudomonadati; Pseudomonadota; Gammaproteobacteria; Enterobacterales; Enterobacteriaceae. The record is from RNAcentral.